CAAACAAAUGGUGGAACUCCCCAACACUUCAACAAACCGAAACAGCUGAGAAAAGCUCUGAAAGACAGAGCCAAUCACUCAAGGACAGCAGCCCAAACAGUUCCAACAGAUCAAAAGAGCCUCUAGAUCGACAUGAGGAAAAAGCCCAAGGUCCAAGGAUAGCCGGAAAUUUACAAGAGUCAGACUUUCUUCAAGUCAAAAACAAAAUCCAGCCACUCAUUUCUGUGCUUCACUACCUGACAGGGGAAGCUGUGGCUGGAGUAAAGGAAUUCCACCAGCUACAUAGAACUGUACCGUCUUUCCUCUCCACCCAGGACUAAGGCACGAUUGCCAUACAAGAAAAAGCACCUUGCCAGUAUUGUUCAAAAUACUUGGGACUUGAAGCCAAGUCAGGACACCAUGUUGGCCUCUACAGUUGUAUCUGUUGAAGUGAUUAUGAGCUCUGAAGUAACUAUUAAAUUACCAAAGCAAGAGAGUGAAAAGACUUCAUUCCUGCUGGGCAGCAAACCUUGAGUUGGUAUUGAUUCAUUGACAACAGUGAUUUCUUUACUAGAAAUGAGCCAGGAAGCUGACAGAGAUCAUCGUGGGUUCCCUACAAUGAGUUCGGUAGCUGUCAUAAUAUUUUAUGACAAGCUGGGGCUUCAGUUUUUAACAGCUCUAUUAACCUGCCGUGCAACAUAUACAAAUCCAUAUCUAAUUGAUGUUAUCACCUUAUCACCAGUACUGUUACUUUAUUGGUUGGCUCUCAUUUCAUCUUUGUUUUCUUGAUCUUAUUCAACAAAGCUGGAAAGCUGACAUCAAUCAUGUUCACCAUCACCCCUCAGUAUGUGGUUCCCACACACUUCUUCCCUUCCUGUCACUCCACACUUGGAUCAGGAACUUCCCUUUCCUGGGCUAUGUUGAUUCAGAAAAGUGGGGAUCCUUGAGUACAAUGGAAGCUUUCCCUCUCAGCUCAGGUGAGCAUAACUUGGGGUGCUGGGGUCCCAGACAAACUAACAACCACUAAAGCAAUUCUAGGCCAGUGGCUCCCGGGUCUCUUGCCACAUGAAUUUUAAGAAUGAAUUUCAUGAACAGGAAGAGUGAGCUUAGAAAGGAGUUUUAUAAUACUACAGGUGGGAGCCUAAAUGAAAGAAGGCAGAGUUCCUGUACAGUGUGCAGGAGGCCCGGAAGUAGGAUGCCACUGAGGUGUUUAUAGCACUUCCACCAGAAACUGAGGUGCGGCAAGGGAUGGGAAAAUGCACUGGUUUGUCCAGGUGCCUCUCUGUUUUGAUCACGUCCUCACAUACAGUUUCCAGGCAGGGAUGAUCAUUUAGGGGAAGAGAGAUAAUAAACCAGUGAGAUUUAGAGAAAACAUGGUAAUAAACUCCCUUCAGGCAUUCCCAGCUUCUACUAAGAACAGACCUGUUGACAGGACUAAGAACAUUUCCAGCCUCUAUCCAAGGAUGAGUCAAAACUGUUCGUGUUUGGAGGCUCUGCCUGAACCUUUCUAUCACCUGUAUUCAUCAGCGUCAACAGCUGCCUAUGAGUGAUGGGACAGCAGGCCUUUUUCAUCAAGUGUAUUCUCUAGCCAAGUGAUUUUAAUUUUGACCCAAGACAGACGUGGUGCGUGAGCUUACGCAGAUGCCUUCCUUAGGUGCUCCUCACUGCAGGUUGAGGGGCUUACAGAGUCUCUCCCGCCUCACCAGCUCGCUCUCUGUUGUUGUCCAGACGUUUUCCUAUGGGCUGAAGUCUUAGGUUGACAGGACUAUGAGCUGAUUGGAAGUCCUAGAAUCUUUAGUAAGUGUAACCUACUGGGAGAGAGGUCUUCCAGACCAUGCCCUUGGAGAGAGCAUUGGGACCCAGCUCCCUCUCUUGUUUUGCUUCCUGGUUGCCAU
Long non-coding RNA from Rattus norvegicus (Norway rat), 1874 nucleotides. RefSeq lists it as uncharacterized. NCBI's taxonomy places the organism in Eukaryota, Metazoa, Chordata, Mammalia, Rodentia, Muridae. The record is from RefSeq and is a predicted model, not a curated record.